Molecule: ribosomal RNA, 117 nt
Filed under: Actinomycetota bacterium
Lineage: Bacteria; Bacillati; Actinomycetota
Source: RNAcentral
UUCGGCGGUUAUAGCGUAGGGGAAACACCCGGUCCCAUUCCGAACCCGGAAGUUAAGCCCUUCAGCGCCGAUGGUACUGCGCGGGGGACCGCGUGGGAGAGUAGGACGCCGCCGGAC